This 440-nucleotide ribosomal RNA is filed under the name uncultured bacterium. Its description in RNAcentral is "partial 16S ribosomal RNA". It matches the Rfam family "Bacterial small subunit ribosomal RNA", at positions 338 to 795 of the family's 1533-position model. The record is from RNAcentral.
CCUACGGGUGGCAGCAGUGGGGAAUAUUGCACAAUGGGCGAAAGCCUGAUGCAGCGACGCCGCGUGAGGGAAGAAGUAUUUCCGUAUGUAAAGCUCUAUCAGCAGGGAAGAAAAUGACGGUACCUGACUAAGAAGCCCCGUCUAACUACGUGACAGCAGCCGCUGUAAUACGUAAGGGGCAAGCGUUAUCCGGAUUUACUGGGUGUAAAGGGGGCGUAGAGGGCGAAGCAAGUCUGAAGUGAAAACCCAGGGCUCAACCCUGGGACGGCUUUGGAAACUGGUUUGCUAGAGUGUCGGGGAGGUAGGUGGAAUUCAUGGUGUAGCGGUGAAAUGCGUAGAUAUUAGGAAGAACACCAGUGGCGAAGGCAGCUUACUGGACGAUAACUGACGUUGAGGCUCGAAAGCGUGGGGAGCAAACAGGAUUAGAUACCCUGGUAGUC